GAUGAACGCUGGCGGCAUGCUUUACACAUGCAAGUCGGACGGGAAGUGGUGUUUCCAGUGGCGGUCGGGUGAGUAACGCGUAAGAACCUGCCCUGGGGAGGGGAACAACAGCUGGAAACGGCUGCUAAUACCCCGUAGGCUGAGGAGCGAAAGGAGGAAUCCGCCCCAGGAGGGGCUCGCGUCUGAUUAGCUAGUUGGUGAGGUAAUAGCUUACCAAGGCCGUGAUCAGUAGCUGGUCCGAGAGGAUGAUCAGCCACACUGGGACUGAGACAAGGACCAGACUCCUUCGGGAGGCAGCAGUGGGGAAUUUGCCGCAAUGGGCGAUAGCCUGACGGAGCAAUGCCGCGUGGAGGUAAAAGGCCUACGGGUCAUGAACUUCGUUACCUGGAGAAGAAACAAUGACGGUACCUGGUGAAUAAGCAUCGGCUAACUCUGUG
This 437-nucleotide ribosomal RNA is filed under the name uncultured bacterium. RNAcentral's name for it is "partial 16S ribosomal RNA". It matches the Rfam family "Bacterial small subunit ribosomal RNA", at positions 28 to 507 of the family's 1533-position model. The record is from RNAcentral.